This 468-nucleotide ribosomal RNA is filed under the name uncultured bacterium. Its description in RNAcentral is "bacterial LSU rRNA". It matches the Rfam family "Bacterial large subunit ribosomal RNA", at positions 711 to 1178 of the family's 2925-position model. The record is from RNAcentral.
AGACCCGAAACCAGGUGAUCUAUUCAUGGCCAGGAUGAAGGCAACGUAACAGUUGCUGGAGGUCCGAACCGACUAGUGUUGCAAAACUAGCGGAUGAGCUGUGAAUAGGGGUGAAAGGCUAAACAAACCUGGAGAUAGCUGGUUCUCUCCGAAAACUAUUUAGGUAGUGCCUCAGGUAUUACCAUCGGGGGUAGAGCACUGUUAUGGCUAGGGGGUCAUGGCGACUUACCAAACCAUUGCAAACUCCGAAUACCGAUGAGUACAGCCUGGGAGACAGAGCACCGGGUGCUAACGUCCGGACUCAAGAGGGAAACAACCCAGACCGCCAGCUAAGGUCCCCAAAAUUGGCUAAGUGGGAAACGAAGUGGGAAGGCUAAAACAGUCAGGAUGUUGGCUUAGAAGCAGCCAUCAUUUAAAGAAAGCGUAAUAGCUCACUGAUCGAGUCGUCCUGCGCGGAAGAUGUAACGG